RNAcentral lists this ribosomal RNA (758 nucleotides) under Massilia sp. MJ538. RNAcentral's name for it is "bacterial SSU rRNA". It matches the Rfam family "Bacterial small subunit ribosomal RNA", at positions 71 to 824 of the family's 1533-position model. The record is from RNAcentral. Lineage: Bacteria; Pseudomonadati; Pseudomonadota; Betaproteobacteria; Burkholderiales; Oxalobacteraceae.
AGCACGGGGGCAACCCUGGUGGCGAGUGGCGAACGGGUGAGUAAUAUAUCGGAACGUACCCAAGAGUGGGGGAUAACGUAGCGAAAGUUACGCUAAUACCGCAUACGAUCUAUGGAUGAAAGCAGGGGACCGCAAGGCCUUGUGCUCCUGGAGCGGCCGAUAUCUGAUUAGCUAGUUGGUGAGGUAAAGGCUCACCAAGGCCACGAUCAGUAGCUGGUCUGAGAGGACGACCAGCCACACUGGAACUGAGACACGGUCCAGACUCCUACGGGAGGCAGCAGUGGGGAAUUUUGGACAAUGGGCGCAAGCCUGAUCCAGCAAUGCCGCGUGAGUGAAGAAGGCCUUCGGGUUGUAAAGCUCUUUUGUCAGGGAAGAAACGGUGGGGGCUAAUAUCCUCCGCUAAUGACGGUACCUGAAGAAUAAGCACCGGCUAACUACGUGCCAGCAGCCGCGGUAAUACGUAGGGUGCAAGCGUUAAUCGGAAUUACUGGGCGUAAAGCGUGCGCAGGCGGUUUUGUAAGUCUGUCGUGAAAGCCCCGGGCUCAACCUGGGAAUUGCGAUGGAGACUGCAAGGCUUGAAUCUGGCAGAGGGGGGUAGAAUUCCACGUGUAGCAGUGAAAUGCGUAGAGAUGUGGAGGAACACCGAUGGCGAAGGCAGCCCCCUGGGUCAAGAUUGACGCUCAUGCACGAAAGCGUGGGGAGCAAACAGGAUUAGAUACCCUGGUAGUCCACGCCCUAAACGAUGUCUACUAGUUGUC